This 253-nucleotide ribosomal RNA is filed under the name uncultured bacterium. RNAcentral's name for it is "partial 16S ribosomal RNA". It matches the Rfam family "Bacterial small subunit ribosomal RNA", at positions 524 to 776 of the family's 1533-position model. The record is from RNAcentral.
UACGUAGGGUGCAAGCGUUAAUCGGAAUUACUGGGCGUAAAGGGCUCGUAGGCGGCCAACUAAGUCAGACGUGAAAUCCCCAGGCUCAACCUGGGAACUGCGUCUGAUACUGGAUGGCUUGAAUUCGGGAGAGGGAUGCAGAAUUCCAGGUGUAGCGGUGAAAUGCGUAGAUAUCAGAAGGAACAUCAGUGGCGAAGGCGGCUUUCUGGACCAAUACUGACGAUCAGGUGCGAAAGCGUGGGGAGCAAACAGG